This 60-nucleotide ribosomal RNA is filed under the name Thielaviopsis paradoxa. RNAcentral's name for it is "partial large subunit ribosomal RNA". The record is from RNAcentral. RNAcentral also lists the same sequence under 22 other names. Lineage: Eukaryota; Fungi; Ascomycota; Sordariomycetes; Microascales; Ceratocystidaceae.
UUGACCUCGGAUCAGGUAGGAAUACCCGCUGAACUUAAGCAUAUCAAUAAGCCGGAGGAA